GUUGACCUUUAUAUUGAAAUCUGAAAAAACUGCUGACAGGCCGUUGUGGUGUCACGAGGAGUGUCUGCAGUUCUGUUAAACGUUCACAUUGUGUCACAGGUUUGUGGCACAGCAGCACGACUGGCUGACCUACACACUGUAAUGCUGAUCAAUAACACACAGGAGGGUUUUACUGGAGGACAAACCAAACCCAACUGGAACAUUUUGAGGAACUGGUUUGUAAUCUUCCUUCAAUUCAUCUAAAUCCAGAACUAAAACAAUUGACGGGGUUUAGUUGAACCUGCUUGAGAAAACAAGUGGUAGAAUUAUGAUGCCCCCGCAGCUGGAAGGUGACCAGGCCGUUGCCGAUCUCUAUAAGGUGCACCAGCGCGUUCAGGUAGUCGGAGGCCAGGAUGAAACAGUCCCCGGUGCUGAAGUUCCCCCAGCGGCCCAGCAGGAGGUCUCCACACAGGCUGUGCUGCAGGGAGCGGGUCAGGUGCUCAUAGAAGAUGGAGUUCAGAUUGUUGUCGUCGGAACCUGAAGGAGGAAAGAAAAAAAGGACAAAACGAUUACAUCAGGGUUUAAAGCUUUGUCAUAUUAAAGUCAAUUCAUACGAGAGAACAAUGGUGUAAAUAAAGAGUAAAUAAACUCAAAUAUCACGUCCUCACCUGGAUUUCUGUCCAGCUGAGAAGCCAGACGAGUGUUGGAGUGAUCCACUCUUUUUGUGCUGUUAAAAAAUAAAUCACAAAUUUACGAAACCUGACACUUUUCUUGAUUUGAAACAUGGAAAAGUAUUUUUAUUUUAGUUUGCCUACUUGUAAUCUCUCUCCCAGAACUUGACAGGGCGGACAUAGGAGGUGAUGAAGAUGGCGCUGCCGAGGAACGGGUUGAGGGGAGUGGAGAAGAUGGCCGACACCACAGCCUGGACAAACAGCAUGGCAGAGUCUGGAGGGGCUCCAGUCAAGGAUCACCAGUAAUAUGCUCUGCUUUAAUAAACUCUAAUAUCAGCGGA
Pleuronectes platessa (European plaice) is the source of this 991-nucleotide long non-coding RNA. RefSeq lists it as uncharacterized. The record is from RefSeq and is a predicted model, not a curated record. The transcript has 2 exons. NCBI's taxonomy places the organism in Eukaryota, Metazoa, Chordata, Actinopteri, Pleuronectiformes, Pleuronectidae.